AUGCAAGUCGAGCGGCAGCGGAAAGUAGCUUGCUACUUUGCCGGCGAGCGGCGGACGGGUGAGUAAUGUCUGGGAAACUGCCUGAUGGAGGGGGAUAACUACUGGAAACGGUAGCUAACACCGCAUAACGUCGCAAGACCAAAGAGGGGGACCUUCGGGCCUCUUGCCAUCAGAUGUGCCCAGAUGGGAUUAGCUAGUAGGUGGGGUAACGGCUCACCUAGGCGACGAUCCCUAGCUGGUCUGAGAGGAUGACCAGCCACACUGGAACUGAGACACGGUCCAGACUCCUACGGGAGGCAGCAGUGGGGAAUAUUGCACAAUGGGCGCAAGCCUGAUGCAGCCAUGCCGCGUGUAUGAAGAAGGCCUUCGGGUUGUAAAGUACUUUCAGCGGGGAGGAAGGCGAUAAGGUUAAUAACCUUGUCGAUUGACGUUACCCGCAGAAGAAGCACCGGCUAACUCCGUGCCCAGCAGCCGCGG
This 477-nucleotide ribosomal RNA is filed under the name uncultured Enterobacter sp. RNAcentral's name for it is "bacterial SSU rRNA". It matches the Rfam family "Bacterial small subunit ribosomal RNA", at positions 55 to 520 of the family's 1533-position model. Lineage: Bacteria; Pseudomonadati; Pseudomonadota; Gammaproteobacteria; Enterobacterales; Enterobacteriaceae. The record is from RNAcentral.